This 429-nucleotide ribosomal RNA is filed under the name Gemmatimonadota bacterium. RNAcentral describes it as "Gemmatimonadetes bacterium partial 16S ribosomal RNA". It matches the Rfam family "Bacterial small subunit ribosomal RNA", at positions 355 to 776 of the family's 1533-position model. Lineage: Bacteria; Pseudomonadati; Gemmatimonadota. The record is from RNAcentral.
UAGGGAAUCUUCGGCAAUGGACGAAAGUCUGACCGAGCAACGCCGCGUGAGUGAAGAAGGCUUUCGGAUCGUAAAACUCUGUUGUUAGAGAAGAACAAGGACGUUAGUAACUGAACGUCCCCUGACGGUAUCUAACCAGAAAGCCACGGCUAACUACGUGCCAGCAGCCGCGGUAAUACGUAGGUGGCAAGCGUUGUCCGGAUUUAUUGGGCGUAAAGCGAGCGCAGGCGGUUUCUUAAGUCUGAUGUGAAAGCCCCCGGCUCAACCGGGGAGGGUCAUUGGAAACUGGGAGACUUGAGUGCAGAAGAGGAGAGUGGAAUUCCAGGUGUAGCGGUGAAAUGCGUAGAUAUAUGGAGGAACACCAGUGGCGAAGGCGGCUCUCUGGUCUGUAACUGACGCUGAGGCUCGAAAGCGUGGGGAGCAAACAGG